GAUGAACGCUGGCGGCGUGCCUAAUACAUGCAAGUCGAGCGAACGGACGAGAAGCUUGCUUCUCUGAUGUUAGCGGCGGACGGGUGAGUAACACGUGGAUAACCUACCUAUAAGACUGGGAUAACUUCGGGAAACCGGAGCUAAUACCGGAUGAUAUUUUGAACCGCAUGGUUCAAAAGUGAAAGACGGUCUUGCUGUCACUUAUAGAUUGAUCCGCGUUGCAUUAGCUAGUUGGUAAGGUAACGGCUUACCAAGGCAACGAUGCAUAGCCGACCUGAGAGGGUGAUCGGCCACACUGGAGCUGAGACGCGGUCCAGACUCCGACGGGAGGCAGCAGUAGGGAAUCUUCCGCAAUGGGCGAAAGCCUGACGGAGCAACGCCGCGUGAGUGAUGAAGGUCUUCGGAUCGUAAAACUCUGUUAUUAGGGAAGAACAUAUGUGUAAGUAACUGUGCACAUCUUGACGGUACCUAAGCAGAAAGCCACGGCUAACUACGU
This 496-nucleotide ribosomal RNA is filed under the name uncultured bacterium. Its description in RNAcentral is "partial 16S ribosomal RNA". It matches the Rfam family "Bacterial small subunit ribosomal RNA", at positions 28 to 506 of the family's 1533-position model. The record is from RNAcentral.